This 553-nucleotide ribosomal RNA is filed under the name Sphingobacterium sp. WTPout_58. Its description in RNAcentral is "bacterial SSU rRNA". It matches the Rfam family "Bacterial small subunit ribosomal RNA", at positions 46 to 588 of the family's 1533-position model. The record is from RNAcentral. Lineage: Bacteria; Pseudomonadati; Bacteroidota; Sphingobacteriia; Sphingobacteriales; Sphingobacteriaceae.
GCCUAAUACAUGCAAGUCGGACGGGAUUCAGGGAGUAGCUUGCUACGAACUGAUGAGAGUGGCGCACGGGUGCGUAACGCGUGAGCAACCUACCCAUAUCAGGGGGAUAGCCUCUCGAAAGAGAGAUUAACACCGCAUAACAUUGAAGAACGGCAUCGUUUUUCAAUCAAAUAUUUAUAGGAUAUGGAUGGGCUCGCGUGACAUUAGCUAGUUGGAGAGGUAACGGCUCACCAAGGCUACGAUGUCUAGGGGCUCUGAGAGGAGAAUCCCCCACACUGGUACUGAGACACGGACCAGACUCCUACGGGAGGCAGCAGUAAGGAAUAUUGGUCAAUGGAGGCAACUCUGAACCAGCCAUGCCGCGUGCAGGAUGACUGCCCUAUGGGUUGUAAACUGCUUUUGUCASGGAAUAAACCUUUCCACGUGUGGAGAGCUGAAUGUWCCUGAAGAAUAAGGAUCGGCUAACUCCGUGCCASCAGCCGCGGUAAUACGGAGGAUCCAAGCGUUAUCCGGAUUUAUUGGGUUUAAAGGGUGCGUAGGCGGUCCUAUAAGU